UACGUAGGUGGCAAGCGUUAUCCGGAUUUACUGGGUGUAAAGGGCGUGUAGGCGGGACUGCAAGUCAGAUGUGAAAACCAUGGGCUCAACCCAUGGCCUGCAUUUGAAACUGUAGUUCUUGAGUGAUGGAGAGGCAGGCGGAAUUCCGUGUGUAGCGGUGAAAUGCGUAGAUAUACGGAGGAACACCAGUGGCGAAGGCGGCCUGCUGGACAUUAACUGACGCUGAGGCGCGAAAGCGUGGGGAGCAAACAGG
This 253-nucleotide ribosomal RNA is filed under the name uncultured bacterium. RNAcentral describes it as "partial 16S ribosomal RNA". It matches the Rfam family "Bacterial small subunit ribosomal RNA", at positions 524 to 776 of the family's 1533-position model. The record is from RNAcentral.